Long non-coding RNA from Girardinichthys multiradiatus, 1846 nucleotides. RefSeq lists it as uncharacterized. The record is from RefSeq and is a predicted model, not a curated record. The transcript has 2 exons. NCBI's taxonomy places the organism in Eukaryota, Metazoa, Chordata, Actinopteri, Cyprinodontiformes, Goodeidae.
CUCCUGUGCACGGUCUUGGAUCGCCAGAUUCUCCGCCAAAGCAGUGCGUUCCCCGACAGAUCUCCGCUAAAGCGUGCGCAGCGAUGUGCAUCGAGAGCAACAGCGACAGCAACACUGAUGUCAAAAAGACCAUUUUGCAGCUCCAGGGUUAGGACCUGCUCUCAGUGAAGAAGAGAAGGAAUCGGAAGCAGGCAUUAGUUGGCUCUCUCCAUGUCUGACCCACUCUGAGAGAUCCUGCACUUCAGUGUCUGAGUGUGGCAUUCCUGAGACUUGAGCAGCAUCAGGUUUCCCCGGCCACAUUUUAACCCUUCAUCCUCCUUAACUCUCCUCAUAAUUCCCUCUGAUGUGGUCAAAAUGAUCAUUGAAAAAUUCAUACCACCUGAUUCUUGUCACAUUGCCAUUUCAAAUUUCAAUACAUACUGUUUAAUACCUGAUUUUCAAUAGUCUUUACGAAUAAAAUUUUAAAAAACAUGGCAGCAGUUGUAUUUAGGCCACCUUUACGCUGAGAACUCUAAUUCAAAUCCAGUGCAACCAACUGCUUUGUAAUAAUUACAAAGGUGUGUGCUGUGUGUAAUUUAAAUACAGCUGUUCUGUGAAAGCUAAGAGACCAAGGAAAACAGGUGACAGGUCAGAGAAAUGGUUGUGGAGAAGCUUAAAAAUAGGUUUAGGUUAGAAAACAAUAUCGCAAGCUUUGAGCAUCUCACAGAGUUCUAUUCUGAUUAGCAAAUGAAUAAAUUAAUAGGAAAAUAAUUUAAAGAAUGCCGCACCACACUAAGAUGUUCUACGAUAAGAUAUAUUCUGUUUUUCAUUUUUGUGACAGAUCUUUAAACGUGUUUUAUUAACAAAGAUAAUCUGAGUAAACACAAAAAGUUGUUUUCAAAUGAUUAUUUUAAUUUAUUAAUGGGGAAAUAUCUAUCAAAACCAACCUUGGCUUAUGUGAAAAUGUAAUUGCCCACUUUGUUAAGUCAUGAAUUAACUGUUAUUAACAGUUAAUCCAGCCAGAUCUUUAUAAUUAAUAUGGCACUUAAAUACUGUAGAAUCUGUCUGACAAUAUGAAGUAGGCUAAAACAUCUAAAAAAAAACAACUAUUGGCAAUUAUUCCCAGAUCCCAAGAAAGAACAGAUGAGAAACAAGUUACUGACACCCAUCAGCCUGGAAAAGGUUACAAAGGCAUUACUGAGGCUUUGGGACUCCAGCAAACCACUGAGAGACAUUAUCCACAACUGGAACAGGGGACAAACAUUGCCAGGAGUGGCCGGCCUACCGCAAAUCAACGACUCAUCCAGGAGGUUACAAAAGAACCUAAAACAACAUCUAAAGCACUGCGGACCUCACUUGGCUCAACAAAAGUCAAUGUUCAUGAUUCAACAAUAAGAAAGAGGCUGCAUAAAAUGACAUCCAAAGGAAAGUUCAAAGGUAAAAACCAUUGUAGAACAAAAAACCCCACAAAGGCUCCUCUGACAUUUCUCCCCAAAAACCAUCUGGACGGUCCCCAAGACUUUGGGGGGAAAUAUUCUAUGGAUUGACAAGACAAAAGUGGAAGGUGUGCAUCCCAUCACAUCUAGUCCAACCCAGAUGUCUAGUCACAUUUAGUCCAGCAAAAGGUCAACCAUGCUAGUGGCAGUAUGUUGGUUUGGGGAUGCUAUACUUCUUUGGGACUUGUCGUUAUUGAUGGAACCAUGAAUUUUACUCUAUCAGAGAAUCCUGAAGGAUAUGUAUUACUACUAUUUUGUGGCAUGACCUUUGUCCACAGUGACCUAACAGACUUAUUGACAGUUAUAACAUUUGUUUGAUGAUCUGAAACAUUUAGGUGAUAAAAAAUAAAUUAAAUCUGUAAGAGGCCAAA